UGAGGAAUAUUGCACAAUGGGGGAAACCCUGAUGCAGCGACGCCGCGUGGGUGAUGACGGCCUUCGGGUUGUAAAGCCCUUUUGCCACUGACGAGAACGGACGGUAGGUGGCGAAUAAGCCUCGGCUAACUACGUGCCAGCAGCCGCGGUAAAACGUAGGAGGCGAGCGUUAUCCGGAGUUACUGGGCGUAAAGCGUGCGCAGGCGGUGCCAUAAGUCAGGUGUGAAAGAUUCCGGCUCAACCGGGAAAACGCGCUUGAGACUGUGGGACUAGAGUGGGAUAGAGGGACGUGGAAUUCCGGGUGGAGCGGUGAAAUGUGUAGAGAUCCGGAGGAACACCAGAGGCGCAAGCGGCGUCCUGGGUCCCAACUGACGCUGAGGCACGAAAGCUUGGGGAGCGAACGGG
RNAcentral lists this ribosomal RNA (405 nucleotides) under uncultured bacterium. Its description in RNAcentral is "bacterial SSU rRNA". It matches the Rfam family "Bacterial small subunit ribosomal RNA", at positions 355 to 776 of the family's 1533-position model. The record is from RNAcentral.